GAUGAACGCUAGCUACAGGCUUAACACAUGCAAGUCGAGGGGAAACGACAUCGAAAGCUUGCUUUUGAUGGGCGUCGACCGGCGCACGGGUGAGUAACGCGUAUCCAACCUGCCCAUCACUUGGGAAUAACCUUGCGAAAGUAAGACUAAUACCCAAUGACAUCCCACGAAGACAUCUGAAUGGGAUUAAAGAUUUAUCGGUGAUGGAUGGGGAUGCGUCUGAUUAGCUUGUUGGCGGGGUAACGGCCCACCAAGGCAACGAUCAGUAGGGGUUCUGAGAGGAAGGUCCCCCACAUUGGAACUGAGACACGGUCCAAACUCCUACGGGAGGCAGCAGUGAGGAAGAUUGGUCAAUGGGCGAGAGCCUGAACCAGCCAAGUAGCGUGCAGGAUGACGGCCCUAUGGGUUGUAAACUGCUUUUAUAAGGGAAUAAAGUGGGUCUCGUGAGACUUUUUGCAUGUACCUUAUGAAUAAGGACCGGCUAAUUCCGUG
This 492-nucleotide ribosomal RNA is filed under the name uncultured bacterium. Its description in RNAcentral is "partial 16S ribosomal RNA". It matches the Rfam family "Bacterial small subunit ribosomal RNA", at positions 28 to 507 of the family's 1533-position model. The record is from RNAcentral.